This 591-nucleotide ribosomal RNA is filed under the name uncultured bacterium. RNAcentral's name for it is "bacterial SSU rRNA". It matches the Rfam family "Bacterial small subunit ribosomal RNA", at positions 338 to 916 of the family's 1533-position model. The record is from RNAcentral.
CCUACGGGAGGCAGCAGUGGGGAAUUUUGGACAAUGGGCGCAAGCCUGAUCCAGCAAUGCCGCGUGAGUGAAGAAGGCCUUCGGGUUGUAAAGCUCUUUUGUCAGGGAAGAAACGGUUGAGGCUAAUAUCCUCGGCUAAUGACGGUACCUGAAGAAUAAGCACCGGCUAACUACGUGCCAGCAGCCGCGGUAAUACGUAGGGUGCAAGCGUUAAUCGGAAUUACUGGGCGUAAAGCGUGCGCAGGCGGUUUUGUAAGUCUGUCGUGAAAGCCCCGGGCUUAACCUGGGAAUUGCGAUGGAGACUGCAAGGCUUGAAUCUGGCAGAGGGGGGUAGAAUUCCACGUGUAGCAGUGAAAUGCGUAGAGAUGUGGAGGAACACCGAUGGCGAAGGCAGCCCCCUGGGUCAAGAUUGACGCUCAUGCACGAAAGCGUGGGGAGCAAACAGGAUUAGAUACCCUGGUAGUCCACGCCCUAAAACGAUGUCUACUAGUUGUCGGGUCUUAAUUGACUUUGGUAAACGCAGCUAACGUGUGAAGUAGACCCGCCUGGGGGAGUACGGUCGCAAGAUUAAAACUCAAAAGGAAUUGACGG